This 496-nucleotide ribosomal RNA is filed under the name uncultured bacterium. RNAcentral's name for it is "partial 16S ribosomal RNA". It matches the Rfam family "Bacterial small subunit ribosomal RNA", at positions 28 to 507 of the family's 1533-position model. The record is from RNAcentral.
GAUGAACGCUGCGGCGUGCCUAAUACAUGCAAGUCGAGCGAACAGACGAGGAGCUUGCUCCUCUGACGUUAGCGGCGGACGGGUGAGUAACACGUGGAUAACCUACCUAUAAGACUGGGAUAACUUCGGGAAACCGGAGCUAAUACCGGAUAAUAUAUUGAACCGCAUGGUUCAAUAGUGAAAGACGGUUUUGCUGUCACUUAUAGAUGGAUCCGCGCCGCAUUAGCUAGUUGGUAAGGUAACGGCUUACCAAGGCGACGAUGCGUAGCCGACCUGAGAGGGUGAUCGGCCACACUGGAACUGAGACACGGUCCAGACUCCUACGGGAGGCAGCAGUAGGGAAUCUUCCGCAAUGGGCGAAAGCCUGACGGAGCAACGCCGCGUGAGUGAUGAAGGUCUUCGGAUCGUAAAACUCUGUUAUUAGGGAAGAACAAAUGUGUAAGUAACUAUGCACGUCUUGACGGUACCUAAUCAGAAAGCCACGGCUAACUACGUG